RNAcentral lists this ribosomal RNA (440 nucleotides) under uncultured bacterium. RNAcentral describes it as "bacterial SSU rRNA". It matches the Rfam family "Bacterial small subunit ribosomal RNA", at positions 338 to 794 of the family's 1533-position model. The record is from RNAcentral.
CCUACGGGGGGCAGCAGUGGGGAAUCUUGCACAAUGGGGGAAACCCUGAUGCAGCGAUGCCGCGUGAGUGAAGAAGGCCUUUGGGUUGUAAAACUCUUUCGUCGGGGAAGAAAAUGACUGUACCCGAAUAAGAAGGUCCGGCUAACUUCGUGCCAGCAGCCGCGGUAAUACGAAGGGACCUAGCGUUGUCCGGAUUUAUUGGGCGUAAAGAGCUCGUAGGCGGUUCUGUAAGUCGGAUGUGAAAACUCAGGGCUCAACCCUGAGACGCCAUCUGAUACUGCAGUGACUAGAGUCCGGUAGAGGGAGGUAGAAUUCAUAGUGUAGCGGUGGAAUGCGUAGAUAUUAUGAAGAAUACCAGUGGCGAAGGCGGCGACCUGGUCCUUGACUGACACUGAGGAGCGAAAGCAUGGGUAGCGAAGAGGAUUAGAUACCCUUGUAGU